GCUCAGAUUGAACGCUGGCGGCAGGCCUAACACAUGCAAGUCGAACGGUAACAGGAAGCAGCUUGCUGCUUUGCUGACGAGUGGCGGACGGGUGAGUAAUGUCUGGGAAACUGCCCGAUGGAGGGGGAUAACUACUGGAAACGGUAGCUAAUACCGCAUAACGUCGCAAGACCAAAGAGGGGGACCUUAGGGCCUCUUGCCAUCGGAUGUGCCCAGAUGGGAUUAGCUAGUAGGUGGGGUAAUGGCUCACCUAGGCGACGAUCCCUAGCUGGUCUGAGAGGAUGACCAGCCACACUGGAACUGAGACACGGUCCAGACUCCUACGGGAGGCAGCAGUGGGGAAUAUUGCACAAUGGGCGCAAGCCUGAUGCAGCCAUGCCGCGUGUAUGAAGAAGGCCUUCGGGUUGUAAAGUACUUUCAGCGGGGAGGAAGGGAGUAAAGUUAAUACCUUUGCUCAUUGACGUUACCCGCAGAAGAAGCACCGGCUAACUCCGUGCCAGCAGCCGCGGUAAUACGGAGGGUGCAAGCGUUAAUCGGAAUUACUGGGCGUAAAGCGCACGCAGGCGGUUUGUUAAGUCAGAUGUGAAAUCCCCGGGCUCAACCUGGGAACUGCAUCUGAUACUGGCAAGCUUGAGUCUCGUAGAGGGGGGUAGAAUUCCAGGUGUAGCGGUGAAAUGCGUAGAGAUCUGGAGGAAUACCGGUGGCGAAGGCGGCCCCCUGGACGAAGACUGACGCUCAGGUGCGAAAGCGUGGGGAGCAAACAGGAUUAGAUACCCUGGUAGUCCACGCCGUAAACGAUGUCGACUUGGAGGUUGUGCCCUUGAGGCGUGGCUUUUCGGAGCUAACGCGUUAAGUCGACCGCCUGGGGAGUACGGCCGCAAGGUUAAAACUCAAAUGAAUUGACGGGGGCCCGCACAAGCGGUGGAGCAUGUGGUUUAAUUCGAUGCAACGCGAAGAACCUUACCUGGUCUUGACAUCCACGGAAGUUUUCAGAGAUGAGAAUGUGCCUUCGGGAACCGUGAGACAGGUGCUGCAUGGCUGUCGUCAGCUCGUGUUGUGAAAUGUUGGGUUAAGUCCCGCAACGAGCGCAACCCUUAUCCUUUGUUGCCAGCGGUCCGGCCGGGAACUCAAAGGAGACUGCCAGUGAUAAACUGGAGGAAGGUGGGGAUGACGUCAAGUCAUCAUGGCCCUUACGACCAGGGCUACACACGUGCUACAAUGGCGCAUACAAAGAGAAGCGACCUCGCGAGAGCAAGCGGACCUCAUAAAGUGCGUCGUAGUCCGGAUUGGAGUCUGCAACUCGACUCCAUGAAGUCGGAAUCGCUAGUAAUCGUGGAUCAGAAUGCCACGGUGAAUACGUUCCCGGGCCUUGUACACACCGCCCGUCACACCAUGGGAGUGGGUUGCAAAAGAAGUAGGUAGCUUAACCUUCGGGAGGGCGCUUACCACUUUGUGAUU
This 1458-nucleotide ribosomal RNA is filed under the name uncultured organism. RNAcentral describes it as "16S ribosomal RNA". It matches the Rfam family "Bacterial small subunit ribosomal RNA". The record is from RNAcentral.